UACAGAGGUGGCAAGCGUUGUUCGGAAUUACUGGGCGUAAAGGGCGCGUAGGCGGCUCGACAAGUCCCGCGUGAAAGCCCCCGGCUCAACUGGGGAACUGCGCGGGAAACUGUCGGACUUGAGUUCGGGAGAGGGAAGCGGAAUUCCGGGUGUAGCGGUGAAAUGCGUAGAUAUUCGGAAGAACACCAGUGGCGAAGGCGACUUACUGGGCACAUAUUGACGCUGAGGUGCGAAAGCGUGGGGAGCAAACAGG
Molecule: ribosomal RNA, 253 nt
Filed under: uncultured bacterium
Lineage: Bacteria
Description: partial 16S ribosomal RNA
Rfam family: Bacterial small subunit ribosomal RNA
Source: RNAcentral